AUACCCAGAUGUUUGGUACUGUAUCUGACUAACAACCAUAAGAAGCAGAGCACAGGGCAACAGACUGCAAUGGUAUUGCUGUUUGCUUGUGUUACCAGAGUGCUUAAGAGAUCCAGUCCCAGACUGAGAUCUCCAUGGUGAUUGGCACUGUACAAAGAUUUAAAGAUGGUUAGAGCUGCAAGAGCUUACAAUUGCAAUAUAAAGCACAAUGUAAAUGGAUAAAAAGUGGAGAGCCAAUGAGUAAGAGGAAACAAGGAGAAAAUAUUGCUCAGAAAGAUAUGCAGUGGUCAAUAACCUAAAGGUGAUCAGAUUUGGGGAAGUCUAGGAAGGUAAGGUGAACUUUAAAUGAGGCUUUGGAAGGUGGGCAGUGGCGUGCCCUGAGCAUCUAUGUGGAAUUCCUCCUAAGAAUGAAGGGCAGAAUAAUACAGAGCACAGAAGUACUGUUUGAAAAUUAACAUAAAAGCAGUGAAAGAUAGGCUAUCAGACCUUGAAAAUGAAGUCAUACCUGUUCAUAGUUGAAGAGCUAGAAAAUUGAUAAUUGCAGCAUUCUCUGAAAGGACAUAGUAGCACAGCAGUGUAUUUUUCCAAAAAAAAAAAAAAAAAAAGGGAAAAAGAUAUUAAAUCAUCAUAUGAUAAGCCUGGACAACAGUUGCAGCUUUGAAAAUAGCGAGGAUAAGCCCAAGGCUUUGUUACACAGAAGAAAAUCCGCAAAUUUAGGCACAACCUGAAUGACGUCCCUCGAGAGAAAGGAUCAAGUGAAAGAAGAUGGCCAUGUUGUGGAUCUGCUUACAAAGGAGUAAGCAAUAUAAAGGAAUGACACAGAGUACUCAGAUGAACAAGAAAGACAGAGACAGACAAAGGAUACCUAGAAAUCGACUUGUCAUGAUCAUAAGCUUUCACUUAACGGCCUGAGAAAAACAACUUCCAUUCCAAGGCACUCUACUUGUAUCACCCAUAUGGACAAGAAGAAAUAUCUCUGCCUCUCCCUGCAACGAUCUUCCAGGCUAAGGGUAAUGUUGCCUUUCUGCCCAUUAUGUGCUGCAGCCUCAGAUUAUGAUACUAGACUAUACACAGUGCAAGACUAGAUAAUUUAUUAUCUUUCUUGCACUGAGAAACAUAUCCCUUCCCAUUGAAUGUAACUCCCUCAGAGCCACCGGCAGGCCAUCUUUUACGCUUGCUCCACACACUUUGCCUAACAACGCA
RNAcentral lists this long non-coding RNA (1203 nucleotides) under Struthio camelus australis. RNAcentral's name for it is "lncRNA (ENSSCUG00000010688.1)". The record is from RNAcentral. Lineage: Eukaryota; Metazoa; Chordata; Aves; Struthioniformes; Struthionidae.